RNAcentral lists this ribosomal RNA (433 nucleotides) under uncultured bacterium. RNAcentral describes it as "partial 16S ribosomal RNA". It matches the Rfam family "Bacterial small subunit ribosomal RNA", at positions 29 to 507 of the family's 1533-position model. The record is from RNAcentral.
AACGAACGCUGGCGGCAUGCCUAACACAUGCAAGUCGAACGAGACCUUCGGGUCUAGUGGCGCACGGGUGCGUAACGCGUGGGAACCUGCCCUUAGGUUCGGAAUAACUCCCCGAAAGGUGUGCUAAUACCGGUUAAUGUCUUCGGACCAAAGAUUUAUCGCCUUUGGAUGGGCCCGCGUUGGAUUAGCUAGUUGGUAGGGUAAAAGCCUACCAAGGCGACGAUCCAUAGCUGGUCUGAGAGGAUGAUCAGCCACACUGGGACUGAGACACGGCCCAGACUCCUACGGGGAGCAGCAGUGGGGAAUAUUGGACAAUGGGCGAAAGCCUGAUCCAGCAAUGCCGCGUGAGUGAUGAAGGCCUUAGGGUUGUAAAGCUCUUUUACCCGGGAUGAUAAUGACAGUACCGGGAGAAUAAGCUCCGGCUAACUCCGUG